This 305-nucleotide long non-coding RNA is filed under the name Elaeis guineensis (African oil palm). RNAcentral describes it as "long non-coding RNA (EGUI_LNC032746)". The record is from RNAcentral. Lineage: Eukaryota; Viridiplantae; Streptophyta; Magnoliopsida; Arecales; Arecaceae.
AUACAAUAAAGGGGAUUAUGGAAAAUAUAGAUAGAAUUUAGCAACUUAGAAGUAAUGCAAAAGAACAUAGAUGGUAGAUUACGGAGCCAUUUUUUGAUGUAUAAAAGAAUAUGGAUAAAUUAUUUUUCUAUCUAAAUGGUGCAUCAGAAAUAUUUAUCUAAGAAAAUAAAAAUUGUUAGGUAAGUUAUUUACUCUCCAAAGAAUGAGCCUCUCAAGGAAGAGCCAUGCAUCAGAAAAAAGAAAUGAGCUGCUCUGAUAGUCAGAACUCAGAACGAUGCAUUCCCUAACUGAAUGGCUAGGUAGAU